AUGCGAUAAGUAAUGUGAAUUGCAGAAUUCAGUGAAUCAUCGAAUCUUUGAACGCACAUUGCGCCCCCUGGUAUUCCGGGGGGCAUGCCUGUCCGAGCGUCAUUACUGCCCUCAAGCGCGGCUUGUGUGUUGGGCGCCGUCCCCCCCGGGGGACGGGCCCGAAAGGCAGUGGCGGCGCCGUGCCCGGUCCUCGAGCGUAUGGGGCUCUGUCACCCGCUCUGGAGGCCCGGCCGGCCGUCGCCGAUCCAACCCCCAACUUUUAACCGGUUGACCUCGGAUCAGACAGGGAUACCCGCUGAACUUAA
RNAcentral lists this unclassified non-coding RNA (305 nucleotides) under uncultured Arachnomyces. Its description in RNAcentral is "partial contains 5.8S ribosomal RNA, internal transcribed spacer 2, and large subunit ribosomal RNA". The stretch from base 1 to 102 matches the Rfam family "5.8S ribosomal RNA", at positions 53 to 154 of the family's 154-position model. Lineage: Eukaryota; Fungi; Ascomycota; Eurotiomycetes; Onygenales. The record is from RNAcentral.